AGAAACGGAGUACUCCACUACUGUAUUAUCGAGCCCAUCAAUGCAACAUGUCCUCAACUACGCAUUCGUAUUUAAAUUGCUUGGCCGUGCUACAUCAUUUGACCUUUGGAAACUACAACUGAAAUGGGGUAGAAUCAUUCCCUCCACACUAAGAUAUGCAUGGCUCAAGGUAUCGAAAUUUAGCCACCGAUGCCGUUACCCUAAAGUUUUAGCUUGAAUGCGUCAAAGAAACCAACUAUAUAUGAACCUCGGCGGUCUCAGAUUCUGGGCACAAAAUACUUCGCAAACCUUGCAGCACUGUCAAUGGAGAGAGCAUCUCAAAUCACCUUCUUCUUGUUGCUCAUAUCAUCCAUUUCGGCGUAGCUCAAAAUGCUACCACAAGUGGUGCAGAUGAGUUCCCUGUCGGAGUGAUCCUCGACCUGGAUUCGUUGGGGGGCAGGAUGUCACGGACCAGCAUUUCGAUGGCCCUGGAAGACUUCUAUGCAGUCCACAGAAACUACACCCCGAAGCUAGUUCUCCACAUCAGGGACUCCAAAAGUAACAAUGUCCAAGCUGCAUCAGCAGGUAAAAGUUCUGCCGUCUGUCAUGAAAACCCUUUUUCCUACUCCCUCCGUUGCUACAUAUGCUUCAGAAUACAACUUUUUUUUACCCUGUCUUCAAAGUACAACUUAUAUAACCGACUUUCAUCAAUCAAGUUAGUAUAAGCUACAAAAGUGAAAUAUUAUGAACACAGUUUCGGUGAAAAAUAACAUAGUUAUCCUCCAACGUGCCACCACUACUAAUGGACAAAGUUGGGAGAGUUUAAUAGUAACAUUUAUCAAAGGAUUUAACGGAUUUUACUUUGGAACGAGUGUUUUUGGCUAUAUCUUAACUUUCCAUGUGCUUCAUAAUACUUCUGUUUAACAAUAGACAUCCAACUAACAAAUGUCCAUGAACAGAACAGUUGUAAAUCAAAUAAAUAGGUACUAACAAGGCUAAUUUAUGUACUUUAAGCAUAUAUCUCUCGCUAAAGUUCAGAAACAUACAAAACUACUAAACUCUUACUAAGUUACUAUUACCAAUAAAUAUUUACAACACUUUUUUGCAAGGAAAUGUUAUGAGUUUUACUCUCAUAAAGGUUAGUGCAUACACAUUUAAUAACCCAAUUAUGUGUAGCUUAGCUUACCCUUGAUGAGUUUGCUAGUCUGAGAAACCUUAACAACAAAAUGAUAACUGCCAGUUCCUACCCGGUUGUAAUCUGGUUAGCCACCUGAUUGUUGUGAAGUAACUGGGUUCAAAAUUCAAUACCCAGAGAUUAUAGAUUUACUCAUGUUUUCAGAUGUAUGGUCAUCUGUAAUUUGUGAAAUUUAAUCGUAUGACAUAUUCACUACGUAAACUUUCGACAAUGGAUAGCUAUCUUUGCUGGGCAAAUGCUUCAGCGUGCUUUUUAUGAUAAGGUUCUGUGAACCCAGUUACUUGACCAGAGCCAUGGUGUUGAUCCCUUCGUAUCUGAACUGUUCUCUCCGUACUAACAGAGUAACAGAGAGACUAAUCAACCAUCUCUAUUCACAAAAAAUCAGAAUAUAGCAGGUGGACUUAGAAAUCAGAAUGGAGUUAUUAGCAGUCAUCUUUCUACUUGAUGACCCUUUUUUCUCAAUGGAAAUAUUAAGUUCACUUACAAUUAAAAAAUACACCAAAAUACCUUCAAACAAUCCUCCAGAUGGAUCAAGGAAAUAUCCCUAUGAUAGCAUGACCUG
RNAcentral lists this long non-coding RNA (1736 nucleotides) under Triticum aestivum (bread wheat). Its description in RNAcentral is "long non-coding RNA (TAES_LNC007353)". Lineage: Eukaryota; Viridiplantae; Streptophyta; Magnoliopsida; Poales; Poaceae. The record is from RNAcentral.